Molecule: non-coding RNA, 227 nt
Organism: Pelobates cultripes (western spadefoot toad)
Lineage: Eukaryota; Metazoa; Chordata; Amphibia; Anura; Pelobatidae
Source: the annotation of a GenBank genome assembly
GUCUCCGCCGUGAGACAUGACAGGCCCAAAUGGACUAAUACUAAGUUUCCAUCUCCUUAGCAGACUGAUAUUGAUAAAGACCUUACAAAAAGAGCAAAAAAACAAAGCAACCCCGGCUGCAAGAGGGGAGAGGGAAAUGGAUGCAUACUGGAUGCCCCUCUAGCCUAUUAAAAUGGAUAGCACUACAGGGCCUUACUCAACUGAAUUUCUGCAAAUUGUAAAUAUCA